Pocillopora damicornis (cauliflower coral) is the source of this 306-nucleotide long non-coding RNA. The record is from RefSeq and is a predicted model, not a curated record. NCBI's taxonomy places the organism in Eukaryota, Metazoa, Cnidaria, Anthozoa, Scleractinia, Pocilloporidae.
AACAUUUGAUCACGUUUUCCAGUAGCCGUAGCUAUUAUAUUACACGUGUACUUAUCAGGUUACGAGUUUCUUGCGAAAGUCACAUGCUAUCGUUGUACAACGAGUUUACAUUUUCGCUAUUUAAGAGCAAGCUAUCUUGCCAUUGUCGCUAUCAUUAGGUUAUAUGCUAUCAAGCUAGGAGCUAAACCAAAUUCGAACCACAUCACAUCAAAUUGUAUCACGCUAUUGUUGUGCUUUAAAGCCAUCACUACAUAUCUUCGCUACCGUCGAUUAUCGUAAGAAUAAAUUUGUAAGUUGGUUGGAAAA